CAGCCGUAAACUAUGCGCGUUAGGUGUACUGGUGACCACGAGUCGCCGGGGUGCCGAAGGGAAACCGUGAAACGUGCCGCCCGGGAAGUACGGUCGCAAGGCUGAAACUUAAAGGAAUUGGCGGGGGGAGCACCACAACGGGUGGAGCCUGCGGUUUAAUUGGACUCAACGCCGGAAAUCUCACCGGAUAGGACAGACAUAUGAUAGUCGGGCUGAAGACUCUACUUGAUGAUCUGAGAGGUGGUGCAUGGCGUCAGUGACU
This 262-nucleotide ribosomal RNA is filed under the name uncultured archaeon. RNAcentral's name for it is "partial 16S ribosomal RNA". It matches the Rfam family "Archaeal small subunit ribosomal RNA", at positions 748 to 1008 of the family's 1478-position model. The record is from RNAcentral.